UACGAAGGGGGCUAGCGUUGCUCGGAAUUACUGGGCGUAAAGCGCACGUAGGCGGCUCUUUAAGUCGGGGGUGAAAUCCUGGAGCUCAACUCCAGAACUGCCUUCGAUACUGUAGAGCUUGAGUUCGGGAGAGGUGAGUGGAACUGCGAGUGUAGAGGUGAAAUUCGUAGAUAUUCGCAAGAACACCAGUGGCGAAGGCGGCUCACUGGCCCGAUACUGACGCUGAGGUGCGAAAGCAUGGGGAGCGAACAGG
Molecule: ribosomal RNA, 253 nt
Filed under: uncultured bacterium
Lineage: Bacteria
Description: partial 16S ribosomal RNA
Rfam family: Bacterial small subunit ribosomal RNA
Source: RNAcentral